RNAcentral lists this small RNA (127 nucleotides) under Marmota monax (woodchuck). Lineage: Eukaryota; Metazoa; Chordata; Mammalia; Rodentia; Sciuridae. The record is from RNAcentral.
GCUGGGUGCAGUGGUGCACACCUAUAAUCCCAAUGACUUGGGAGGCUGAGGCAGGAGGAUUGCAAGUUCACAUCCGGCCUGGGCAACUUAGCAAGACCCUCAGUAACUUGGUGAGACCCUGUUUCAA